RNAcentral lists this ribosomal RNA (250 nucleotides) under uncultured bacterium. Its description in RNAcentral is "partial 16S ribosomal RNA". It matches the Rfam family "Bacterial small subunit ribosomal RNA", at positions 524 to 773 of the family's 1533-position model. The record is from RNAcentral.
UACGAAGGGUGCAAGCGUUAAUCGGAAUUACUGGGCGUAAAGGGAGCGUAGGCGGCUUUUUAAGUCGGAUGUGAAAUCCCCGGGCUUAACCUGGGAAUGGCAUCCGAUACUGGGGAGCUAGAGUUUGGGAGAGGGUGAUGGAAUUCCCGGUGUAGCGGUGAAAUGCGUAGAGAUCGGGAGGAACAUCAGUGGCGAAGGCGGUCACCUGGCCUAAAACUGACGCUGAAGCUCGAAAGCGUGGGGAGCAAAC